GAGUUUGAUCCUGGCUCAGGACGAACGCUGGCGGCACGCCUAACACAUGCAAGUCGAACGGAGAUAUGAAGAUUUAUCGGAAUAUCUUAGUGGCGGACGGGUGAGUAACACGUGAGCAACCUGCCUUUGAGAGUGGAAUAGCUUCUGGAAACGGAUGGUAAUGCCUCAUAACAUACAAGAAUCGCAUGGUUUUUGUAUCAAAGAUUUAUCGCUCAAAGAUGGGCUCGCGUCUGAUUAGAUAGUUGGUGGGGUAACGGCUCACCAAGUCGACGAUCAGUAGCCGGACUGAGAGGUUGAACGGCCACAUUGGGACUGAGACACGGCCCAGACUCCUACGGGAGGCAGCAGUGGGGAAUAUUGCACAAUGGGGGAAACCCUGAUGCAGCGAUGCCGCGUGGAGGAAGAAGGUUUUCGGAUUGUAAACUCCUGUCUUAAAGGGCGAAAAUGACGGUACUUUAGGAGGAAGCUCCGGCUAACUACGUGCCAGCAGCCGCGGUAAUACGUAGGGAGCGAGCGUUGUCCGGAAUUACUGGGUGUAAAGGGAGCGUAGGCGGGAUUUUAAGUCAGAUGUGAAAUACGUGGGCUCAACCUACGGGCUGCAUUUGAAACUGAAAUUCUUGAGUGAAGUAGAGGCAAGCGGAAUUCCUGGUGUAGCGGUGAAAUGC
This 665-nucleotide ribosomal RNA is filed under the name uncultured bacterium. Its description in RNAcentral is "bacterial SSU rRNA". It matches the Rfam family "Bacterial small subunit ribosomal RNA", at positions 9 to 689 of the family's 1533-position model. The record is from RNAcentral.